UACAGAGGAGCCAAGCGUUGUCCGGAUUGACUGGGCGUAAAGCGCACGCAGGCGGUUGCGCGCGUGGGGUGUGAAAUCUGGCCGCUUAACGGCCAGGCGCCAUCCCAUACGGCGCGACUGGAGGGCUGCAGAGGUCGAUGGAAUUGCCGGUGUAGUGGUGAAAUGCGUAGAGAUCGGCAGGAACACCCAGGGGGAAACCAGUCGACUGGGCAGCACCGUGACGCUGAGGUGCGAGAGCGUGGGGAGCGAACCGG
Molecule: ribosomal RNA, 254 nt
Filed under: uncultured bacterium
Lineage: Bacteria
Description: partial 16S ribosomal RNA
Rfam family: Bacterial small subunit ribosomal RNA
Source: RNAcentral